GCCGAUGUGGUGGAAUUGGUAGACACGCUGUCUUGAGGGGGCAGUGGCGAGAGUCGUGCCGGUUCGAGUCCGGCCAUCGGCA
Molecule: transfer RNA, 82 nt
Filed under: Gammaproteobacteria bacterium
Lineage: Bacteria; Pseudomonadati; Pseudomonadota; Gammaproteobacteria
Also listed under: 2 other names
Description: tRNA-Leu
Rfam family: tRNA
About the family: Transfer RNA (tRNA) molecules are approximately 80 nucleotides in length. Their secondary structure includes four short double-helical elements and three loops (D, anti-codon, and T loops). Further hydrogen bonds mediate the characteristic L-shaped molecular structure. tRNAs have two regions of fundamental functional importance: the anti-codon, which is responsible for specific mRNA codon recognition, and the 3' end, to which the tRNAs corresponding amino acid is attached (by aminoacyl-tRNA synthetases). tRNAs cope with the degeneracy of the genetic code in two manners: having more than one tRNA (with a specific anti-codon) for a particular amino acid; and 'wobble' base-pairing, i.e. permitting non-standard base-pairing at the 3rd anti-codon position.
Source: RNAcentral